AAGAGGAGCCUGGAGACAGGUGCUGCAUGGCUGUCGUCAGCUCGUGUCGUGAGAUGUUGGGUAAGUCCGCAACGAGCGCAACCCCUAUCUUUAGUUGCCAUCAUUGAGUUGGGCACUCUAAAGAGACUGCCGGGUGUCAAACCCGGAGGAAGGUGGGGAUGACGUCAAGUCCUCAUGGCCUUUAUGACCAGGGCUACACACGUACUACAAUGGCCGGUACAAAGGGCAGCGACACAGCGAUGUGAAGCCAAUCCCGAAAAGCCGGUCUCAGUCCGGAUUGGAGUCUGCAACUCGACUACGUGAAGUUGGAAUCGCUAGUAAUCGCGGAUCAGCACGCCGCGGUGAAUACGUUCCCGGGCCUU
This 362-nucleotide ribosomal RNA is filed under the name uncultured Desulfocapsa sp. RNAcentral describes it as "bacterial SSU rRNA". It matches the Rfam family "Bacterial small subunit ribosomal RNA", at positions 1019 to 1382 of the family's 1533-position model. Lineage: Bacteria; Pseudomonadati; Thermodesulfobacteriota; Desulfobulbia; Desulfobulbales; Desulfocapsaceae. The record is from RNAcentral.